RNAcentral lists this ribosomal RNA (253 nucleotides) under uncultured bacterium. RNAcentral's name for it is "partial 16S ribosomal RNA". It matches the Rfam family "Bacterial small subunit ribosomal RNA", at positions 524 to 776 of the family's 1533-position model. The record is from RNAcentral.
UACGUAGGGUGCGAGCGUUGUCCGGAAUUAUUGGGCGUAAAGAGCUCGUAGGCGGUUUGUUGCGUCGGCUGUGAAAUCCCGAGGCUCAACCUCGGGUCUGCAGUCGAUACGAGCAAACUAGAGUGUUGCAGGGGAGACUGGAAUUCCUGGUGUAGCGGUGAAAUGCGCAGAUAUCAGGAGGAACACCGGUGGCGAAGGCGGGUCUCUGGGCAACAACUGACGCUGAGGAGCGAAAGCGUGAGGAGCGAACAGG